GAUGGGAGCUUGCUCCUGGAUUAGUGGCGAACGGGUGAGUAACACGUGAGUAACCUGCCCUUAACUCUGGGAUAAGCCUGGGAAACUGGGUCUAAUACCGGAUAUGACUCCUCAUCGCAUGGUGGGGGGUGGAAAGCUUUAUUGUGGUUUUGGAUGGACUCGCGGCCUAUCAGCUUGUUGGUGAGGUAAUGGCUUACCAAGGCGGCGACGGGUAGCCGGCCUGAGAGGGUGACCGGCCACACUGGGACUGAGACACGGCCCAGACUCCUACGGGAGGCAGCAGUGGGGAAUAUUGCACAAUGGGCGCAAGCCUGAUGCAGCGACGCCGCGUGAGGGAUGACGGCCUUCGGGUUGUAAACCUCUUUCAGUAGGGAAGAAGCGAAAGUGACGGUACCUGCAGAAGAAGCGCCGGCUAACUACGUGCCAGCAGCCGCGGUAAUACGUAGGGCGCAAGCGUUAUCCGGAACUAUUGGGCGUAAAGAGCUCGUAGGCGGUUUGUCGCGUCUGCCGUGAAAGUCCGGGGCUCAACUCCGGAUCUGCGGUGGGUACGGGCAGACUAGAGUGAUGUAGGGGAGACUGGAAUUCCUGGUGUAGCGGUGAAAUGCGCAGAUAUCAGGAGGAACACCGAUGGCGAAGGCAGGUCUCUGGGCAUUAACUGACGCUGAGGAGCGAAAGCAUGGGGAGCGAACAGGAUUAGAUACCCUGGUAGUCCAUGCCGUAAACGUUGGGCACUAGGUGUGGGGGACAUUCCACGUUUUCCGCGCCGUAGCU
This 771-nucleotide ribosomal RNA is filed under the name uncultured Arthrobacter sp. Its description in RNAcentral is "bacterial SSU rRNA". It matches the Rfam family "Bacterial small subunit ribosomal RNA", at positions 71 to 853 of the family's 1533-position model. The record is from RNAcentral. Lineage: Bacteria; Bacillati; Actinomycetota; Actinomycetes; Micrococcales; Micrococcaceae.